Long non-coding RNA from Hirundo rustica (Barn swallow), 2367 nucleotides. RefSeq lists it as uncharacterized. The transcript is spliced from 3 exons. NCBI's taxonomy places the organism in Eukaryota, Metazoa, Chordata, Aves, Passeriformes, Hirundinidae. The record is from RefSeq and is a predicted model, not a curated record.
GUCUGCUGGCAGUGCUGCAAGGAGGGAGGGAUAAGAUGUUGUAUAGGGACAGACAGGUGGCUCUGCUAGGGACAGGAGGGAGUGAACUGGAAUUGAGAGAAGGAAAGAAAGAGCCAGAGCUGUGUGGAGCUGCCUAUGAGAGGCUAUAUAGAAAAAGUGUGAAAGACUUGUAGAUAACAAGGAGCUGAUGCUUGAAGCCUUCUGAAGUUCUGCCAAAGCACUCUUGAGUGUUGUGGCCAUCUCAACAGCGACAAAUGGUGACCCUGAUGUGAUACAACAGCCUGAACAACAUACUCUGUCUGGACGCAUAUGGGGUCCUGGUGACUGGCAACAUUGACCCAUUGGGAGGGGGGGAUGGCAUUGGUGAAGCUGAGAGGGGUGUGUGGAAGCCACAGCAAGGUCUCGACCUGAUUUUCUCCUAUCAAGGCACCUGGAAGCAGUUCGCUCAGGGAGAGGAGUCUCUUCUGCUAUUCCAUGGAGUCCUUCCCAUGAGAGACAGCUCUCUGUGAACUCUUCCAGUGUGGUCCUAAUUUUCACAAGCAGCAGUCUACCUGAAACCUGCUGCAAUGUGAAGUCCAUCCACAGGGAGAAAAUUGGUGUUUGUAGGUCCAUUUGUUCUCAAGCUUUAUCAAUUGAAACCGUUUUUACGGAGUUCUGCAGUGCUGAAAGGUUGAUCUCAUCCCGGCUCUGCAUUGGGAAAAUCACUUGCCGUGAUUUUCUCGCUGCUGGUCCCUGGUCUCUGCCAGCACCGUGCAAGCUGUGCCGGCCGCUGGCUCCACUCCAGGCCUCUUCUUCAUGUGAGAUGCCUAAAAAAGAAAAGUUGCUGCUGCCAUUUUUGUCCUUCUGCCCACAACAUGGCUGGCUGAAAGUAGCUAAGCAAAUGGAGUCCAUUGCAAGCCAUGCCAAGAGAGUCCUGGCCCAGCUGUGCUGAUUUUGGCCAUGCGGUCCUGGCCACGUGGCUGCUCCUGGACCGGGAUGGCCACAGGGCUGCUCCUGGCACUGUCCCAGCUGCACGGUUGCCUGCAGUGCCAGGAUGGCUCCCUGCAGCCACAGUGGGCCCCUCCGGGAAGGAGCUCUGGCUCCACUGGGAAUGGCCCCAACAGCCCCCUUCCCCCUCAGUGCCUCCUUAGAGAGUAGGGAGCAAGACAGCUUCCUGCGUGUUUUUCCGUCAUAAAUAUGUUAUGAUAGAGGCACUUCCAGCUUUUCUAAUUGGCUUAGCAGUGUGCCUAUUCUCAGAGCUAACCAGAAACUGGUUUUGCCAGGCUCGGAGGAAGCUGCUAGCAGCUCCUCACAGAAAAAAUCAUUUCCGUGGCAGGCUUUUUUCCCCCUCACCAAAAUCAUCCUAUUUAAAACCACCACAAAUGUGACAAGAAAGAAGCACAAAUUAAUAUGAGCUCUAAAAAUUUCCAUAAAUCAGGAGGAAAAGGUUCUCUUUUGGUAUUGUAGCAACGUUUUCCAAAUGUGGAUUUUUUUGGUGGUCAUUUCCUUUUUAUUCACUAGUUACACCAAUGGAUCAUCUCCUGAUUUAUAUUAUUGAAAGUCAGAAGACUAACUUCUUAUAAUUUUCACACACUAUUUUUCACUUUCCUGUUAUUUGUGUUUUUUCCCAUGUAGUAUAUUGUCCUUUUCAGUAAUUCUAAAAUUUCUCCUUCUUUUAUUCUUUCAAAUGUAUUUAUCUACAGAUGUCUCAUUUUUCCAGAGGCACUGCAAAAAAUAGCUAAACUUCUACACCUAAAAGAUCCUUCCAUUUCCCUUUCCCACAAACAGUUAAAAGCAUAAGAAAAGAACUGGUGAGAAUAAAAUACUAGAAAAGAUAUACAAAUGGCUCUCUGUAAUGGUCUCUCAAUAUUUCCCAGAUAACAGAGCUGUUAGAUCCACAUUAGAUCAUGCUUCCUUAUUAGGAGUCACUACAAUCUGUCUGCUGUCAUGAGAUCAUGUAUUGUGAGUUCUUUUAAUAUGUAUUUUUUUAAGUCUAUGUUGCUAUCCAGGUUUCUAUUUCUACUCUUGCCUAGUAAGCAACAUCCAUUUUCUCCUUGUACUGCAGAUUCCUUUUGCCUACUUUAUUGACUUCAUGCCUUUAUCAGAAUCAGCACAGCUUUUAAUGUAACUACUGAGCCUGUCAUUAGGGACUUGAUGGAAGCAUUCCUCAAAUUGUAAAUAAAUUAUACUUUAUGUACAGCCAUUAUCAUCUUUCUCUAGGGGUUUCAAUGGCUCCAAGCUUUUGUGCUAUAGACCAUAUCCCUUUAGGCAAGAUAUCCCUUCAGGAUAUUUCCCUUCAGGCAUGAUAUGCUGGUUGUAGUCAUUACAAUAUUACUUUGAUUAUUCUCUAAAUUACCCCUCAUUACUGUACAUUUUCUUUGCUUUUCU